This 332-nucleotide long non-coding RNA is filed under the name Monodelphis domestica (gray short-tailed opossum). RNAcentral describes it as "lncRNA (ENSMODG00000043095.1)". The record is from RNAcentral. Lineage: Eukaryota; Metazoa; Chordata; Mammalia; Didelphimorphia; Didelphidae.
GAGGGGCAGGGAAGAAGGGAAGGAGACAAUACAGAUCAUAUAACUUUAGAGAACUUAGGCAAGUCACAACCUCAUUAAGCUGGUCUCAUCAGCUACAAAAUGAGAGCAUUGAGCUGUUAAAGAUUCUCAACGUGGGGUCUGCAAACUUAUAAAUUUCAAUGGUGAAGUGUCACAGGGAGAGUGGAAAACUCUCAGUGAAGACCUGUAAUUAGAAAAUUUCCACACCAAGAACAAAAACAAUGACUUUGGGCCACUUCCUGACCCCACUCAUCCAUAGAUCAGAAGGCUAAGUUUAACUUCUCAUGGAGGGAGUGUAGGUAACAUAGAUAGCA